This 76-nucleotide transfer RNA is filed under the name Actinomycetes bacterium. RNAcentral's name for it is "tRNA-Thr". It matches the Rfam family "tRNA". Rfam says of the family: Transfer RNA (tRNA) molecules are approximately 80 nucleotides in length. Their secondary structure includes four short double-helical elements and three loops (D, anti-codon, and T loops). Further hydrogen bonds mediate the characteristic L-shaped molecular structure. tRNAs have two regions of fundamental functional importance: the anti-codon, which is responsible for specific mRNA codon recognition, and the 3' end, to which the tRNAs corresponding amino acid is attached (by aminoacyl-tRNA synthetases). tRNAs cope with the degeneracy of the genetic code in two manners: having more than one tRNA (with a specific anti-codon) for a particular amino acid; and 'wobble' base-pairing, i.e. permitting non-standard base-pairing at the 3rd anti-codon position. Lineage: Bacteria; Bacillati; Actinomycetota; Actinomycetes. The record is from RNAcentral.
GCCAACAUAGCUCAGUUGGUAGAGCAGCUGAUUCGUAAUCAGCAGGUCUAGGGUUCGAGUCCCUAUGUUGGCUCCA